GGUGAACGCUAGCUACAGGCUUAACACAUGCAAGUCGAGGGGCAUCACAGUGUAGCAAUACACGGGUGGCGACCGGCGCACGGGUGCGUAACACGUAUCCAAUCUGCCCGUUACUCGGGGAUAGCCUUCUGAAAAGGAAGAUUAAUACCCGAUGGCAUGUAUUUCCGGCAUCGGAGAUACAUUAAAGAUUUAUCGGUAACGGAUGAGGAUGCGUACGAUUAGCUGGUUGGCGGGUAACGGCCCACCAAGGCUACGAUCGUUAGGGGUUCUGAGAGGAAGGUCCCCCANACUGGAACUGAGACACGGUCCAGACUCC
Molecule: ribosomal RNA, 316 nt
Filed under: uncultured bacterium
Lineage: Bacteria
Description: bacterial SSU rRNA
Rfam family: Bacterial small subunit ribosomal RNA
Source: RNAcentral